Molecule: small RNA, 334 nt
Filed under: Histoplasma ohiense
Lineage: Eukaryota; Fungi; Ascomycota; Eurotiomycetes; Onygenales; Ajellomycetaceae
Description: hypothetical lncRNA
Source: RNAcentral
CAGGGACUACAUCGUGUGGUCAUGGGCCGUGGGUCCUGGGUCGCUACAGGGCCAUAGAAAUCGGUUCAAUGGCCUCUGCCGUCCAUAGGCCAGCAUGGCCACAAGUUAGCCGUCUUUGGGCCUACCAGGUCCAUGGACCGCGAUCUAUGGACCCGUCAGGCCUAUUGGCUUCUGCCUCCAGCAUGGCAACCGAGGUCACUGGACCUACUGCACAUGUCCUUAAGCACCGGCCAUAGUACCCCUUCCCUUGGUCAUUGUGCCACAAAUCGUUCGUUGGAAAUAUCCAAGGAGGCCCUGCGCCAUGCUUCGCCUUCUCUUCCUUUGGAACCUACCC